This 5497-nucleotide unclassified non-coding RNA is filed under the name Leishmania donovani. RNAcentral's name for it is "gene:LdHU3.16.1190(CDS-product:hypothetical_prote in_conserved)". Lineage: Eukaryota; Euglenozoa; Kinetoplastea; Trypanosomatida; Trypanosomatidae. The record is from RNAcentral.
AGCUCAAAGGAAGCGACACUCUGUCUUGUUUCCUGGCGAAAUCAUAGAGCUUCAUCGAAGACUUCCUCCUCCCUCCUCCUCUUGUAUCGCCCUGCUUCACAUCUCUCCGUUCUCCCUUUUUUUGUACUCUCUUUACGUAUUUGUUUUCGCUCCCUUUGGAUAGACGGACGAAAGCCACUCUUGCCCCCUUUCCUACCCCCUUCCACCACCGCCACUCCCGUCGCCCUUUUCCUGCCUUUCGCACCCCUUCCUUCACUGGAAUUUUAUCAUUGUGUGUCGUGCGCUUAUUUUAUUUGUUUUUCUUCGUUCUACCGCCCUCUCUGUCUCUGUGUGUGUGUGCAGUAACAUACGCCGAUGCUUGAGCACAGGUGAUUCAAAGGAAAAAAACAAGCGAAGGAAAACACGACACGCGUCGCUCUUCCGCUGUGGAAACUUUCUCUAUUUCUGCACGUGCUGUGUCGGUCUCGCGCGCACACAUACACAGCAGCAGCGGCAGCGAAACACGGCGGUUAAACCCAGGGAAAAGAAAGCGGGUUUAUCAUCGACGACAGCGUGCGCACAGGCAUACGUAUACGUUCACAGAAAAGAGAAAAGCGGGCUCAUCUUCUCAUAGACACUUGAAAAAGAGGAAAGGGCCAAAUCGGGAGAGUGAGUGGGGCAUUGAAGAGAGCACAAGCGGAGACAGACUCGAGGAGCUGCAGAGAAGUGAGCGACAAGAGCAGUAGCGGCAGCGGCAGUGAGGGACUGUUUUCGUUUUGGUGUGUUUAGCAUAUCUUUCUACCCUUUUGUGUUUUCGCUGAGCGAGCGAGAAUCGGGAUUCAGGGAUCGCAAGGAGCGAAAAAGGGUCCUACGCUUGCAUGUGUUGGCGCCUUCGACAACUAUCGUCAGUGCGCGUUCGUUUUCCUUCUUCAGUCACUUUUUUCGUGUUCUUUACAUCCGUUCGCUUCAUUGGUUCACUGCCUUGUCUCUCUUCGUUGUGUAGGGGCUGUCUUGCACUCCUCAUCUCUUCCACACUUCUGGCCGGCACGAAGAAACAUAGAAAGCGUCUCUUUCCCUCCUCACGGACCCCCCCUUUGCCCCUCCGUGUGUGUGUGUGUAUAUGCCCGUGCUGGAGAUGUCGGAGCGCCGUGGUACGUCGUCUGUGAAGCUGGCGCCGCCUGUGCCGUCGCCAUCUCCAUCGCGCGAUGAAGCGAGCGUCCAUGAUGCACUGAAGGACGGAAAGUUUAGCGCAGAGGGGACCAUCGCAUCUGUGUCCACGACGGGGUCGUCGACGCCGAACACGAAUAACGUGGCCGCUGCGGCCCGCGACGACUCAGAAGGUGUUACGACUUCGUCGCCGAGCAACCCAGCCGGGUCUGCGGGUCGCGGGGCGAGCGUGAAUUCGCAAAGCGAGGCUUGCCUCACUCCCUCAGCGCAUGUGCAGCCAGUGCAGUUCACCUCACCUGAGAGGCUCAGCGUUGCAGGCAGUGCGGCUGCAGAGCUGGGGGGCGACGAGGUGCUACCGCCUCUCGCGAACAGCCCCGUGCAACACUCGCAGAAGACGACUGAGGCUUCUGGCGCCAAGAGAAACGCGCCUCCGGCCGACGAGGAGCUUGUGGAUUCUGCUCCCCGAUCGCCCUUCCGGCGUGGCGCCAGUCACGCCAACGGAGCUGAAGAUCUCAUGCCGAGGGAUCGCUUGGUUGCCUCAGCCGCCGCUACCGCUGAUCGCGGUGCUGCGCAGGGUACCAACACCUUUCACCCUAGCGCAGGCAGUCCCCACAACUUUACAGUCGGCUUCAACGAUUCGCCAUUGAACGGGGCGCGACAGGCUGAGGGUCGCGCACGGGCUACUUGUGCUGCUGGGCCCCUGCCACGGUGCCACAUCAGUGGUGCCAGCCCUGUGCAGGACACUGCUUCCUCCAUGCCUCGCCCGCCGGGAGGCUACGCUUCAGGCGGUGCCGCACCGCGCACUUUUUCCUCUGAGUCCACCUUCUACGACCAGCGCCUCAGCGCUGCGGCGACAACGUCACCAGCCGGUAUGAACAGCUCCGGCUACACGCCUUCUCAGCGUUCCUUGGUGCAGUACGUCGCGCCUCCUGGCGACACGGCGACUCCGUCGUACGGUUGCCGCGAUCCCGCAACCGGCAGUGAUGCCGGCUACAGUCCUAGCCGCCACGCGGAAAUCCGCGCGAUGCUCAUCACAGCGGAGCGUGAGCUGGCCGAUAUGCGCGAGGAGUGUGCGAAGCGUGGAAUGAGGGCUGAUACACUCGAGGCUGCGCUGGAUCGAGAGCGUGCAAAUCUGCGUGCGCUGCGUGACCGCUACGCCGACGAGGCCGCUGCCGCCCGCGAAGAACACGAGGCGCAAACCCGGCAGCUGCGCGAUCAGCUGCACGUGCUCAAGGUGGUCUCCGAGAACGCGAUGGCUGAGAAGAGCAAGGCGGCCGAGGACGCAACGCGACGCAAGAAGGAGCUGUUGGAGCUGCUUGAUCGCGAGCGGGAGGAGAAGAGCUACAUUAUGGCAGACUACCGCGAACAAACAGAGUCGCUGAUCGCAGAGCAAGGACGCGAGAUCACGUAUCUGCGCGGCGCUCUCGACAAGCUCAAGGGCGAGUACGACGACUUAGCGAAACAGCACCAGGUGGUGGAGGAGGAGCUGGAGGGGUUGCAAGAGAAGGUGGAGAACGUCACGGCGCAGCUCGACAAGGAGCGGUCGGACGCCGCCAGCAAGACGAAGGACCUGCAGGCCAACAUGCAGCAGGAAUGCCAAGCCCUCACCGAGCAGCUCGCCGCGAUGCAGGAGCAGCUGCAGAGGGCUUCCACCCAGCACGCGGCCAAGCAGCAGGCUCUCACCGAUCAGCUGCAGAAAGGCGAGGAGAAGCAGCGUGUCACCGAGGAGGAGUACCAGUACACACUCGACACGCUCAAGCAGGCGUACCGCCGCGACACAGACAGUUUGCGAGAGGAGCUGAAUCGCCUAAAGGAGACGCACGGCAAACAAGAGGAGGAGCUGCGCCAUGACUUGGAGAAGGCUGCGAGGAGGGAGAGCAAGUCCGUCGAGGCUCUGCGGCAGGCGCUGGAGCAGGCGCGUCAGGAGAAGGAGCUGAGCGUGGAGGACAGCUUCAAGCAGCGUGAGGUGCUGCAACGCCAGCACCGUGACAAGGUAGCGGCUCUUCAGAAGGAGCUCGACGCGACGGUACAGCAGCUGACAGAGGAGCGUGAGGCACGCAAGGACCGUGAGGCGGAUGUGGAGGUGCUGCGGGUGCGCGCGGACAACCUGGAAAAGGCAAACCAGCGCCUCUCCAACGAACUGGAGACGAUCCAGGCAGACCAGCGCAGUCGGGAGCGGUCGACAGAGCAGGCGCACCAAGCCGCCGUAGAGGCAAUGCGGACGAAGCUGCGCACGGCACUUACCGAUCUGGGCUACGCGCAGGAUCAGCUGACGCAGCAGGCGGCCGAUGCGCAGCAGCUGCGUGACGAACUAGCGAAGCGCACCAGCGCUCUCGAGGCGGCGAAGGAGAAGAUAGUUAUGUUGGAAAGAGCCUCUGCGGACGAGCUCGGCAAGGCGAAGGACACGGCAGUGCAGCGGGAGAAGGAGGCUGCUCAAGUCAUCACACAGCUGCGCACCAGCAAGACGCAGCUGGAGGCGGCAUGCGAGCAGCUGGAGCGGCAGCUGAGAGAGACGGAGGGCCGAGUGCAGGGCACGACCAAGCAGGUCAACGAAGAGCGCCGUUCACUGGAGGAAGCAAACCGCAGACUGCAGGAUGCUCGUGUUGAGGUGGAGGACUUGCGCGCGGUCGUGAAUCACGAACGGGAGCGUGGCACCUUUCUCCAGGAAGAAAAGCGACAGGUGGAGCGUCAGCUCGCCGAGGAGAAGCUCUAUCGCGAGGAGCUCGAGAACCAAUUACACAUGGCAGAGCGGAGGCUGCAGGAGCAGCAGCAGGACCACGCUCGCCAGCUGCAGCAGAUGGAGGGAAAGCUGGAGGAGCAGGUGCAGCGGCACCACGCGGAGCUGGCGGCUUCCCGCAUUGCGGCCGAGCAGGUGCGCGGUGAGGUCGGUCGCGCGCGAGAGGCGAUUGUGGAGAAGGAGACGGCGUUGCAGCAGAUGCGGGAGGAAGUGGGGCGGCUGCAUCGCGAGGCCGCUAUGCGCGAAGGUGGGCUGCAAGAGGAAAUGGAGGAUCUUCGGGAGGCGCACGAGGUGGAGAUACGCCGUAUGGAUGAGCUUCUGAACGGGCUGCGCAGCGACUUGGCCAAGUCACAGGCCACGUGCACCCAAUAUCAACGAGAGCUCUCACAGAUGCACCAAAACUCGGCCGGCGCGCGAUCGGACUUGGAGAUGGCACUGGAGCAGGCUGAUGCGGCUCGGGCAAAGCUGCUGGAGGAUGCCAAGUACAGGGAGCAGCUGAAUCAGGAGCUGCAGGGGACAGUGCGUCUGCUGAGCUCCCGACUCACAUCAAACGAAGAGGAGGUGCGCCGGAUGCAGGAGGAGCUGGCGGACACGAAUAAACGAAUUCAAGACGCCCACACGCUGAUUGGCCGCAAGGAUGCGGCAAUCGGGCAGUUGAACGCAAAGUUGCGCGCGUACGAGUCGCGCCACUGAGACCCCGUAGGUUUCAUGGCGCGUAUGUGUGUGCCGAAGUAUUCACGCGCCGUGAGGGGAUCAGCUGCUUUUUCUUUCGUGUCGUCUCCAUUCGUGACGUGUGCUAGACAAAAACAACGGUGAAGGCCCAAGGGAGGAAGAGGAGAGGGAGAGGCUAGGGGAAGGCAAGGUGGCGUGUAGAUGCGCUUUACAGCGGACAUGCGUGUGAUGCGAGACGCGGCUUCCUCCUUCCUGAACUUGUCCUCGCGCGAAUUAUGUUUUCCUCUUUACCGUGUGUCCGCUGAUCGUCUUUUUCUUCCUGCCCCUCUCCGCAGCUAGUUCUCACCUUUUUGUGGUGUUAUGGCUGCUGUAGCCGCUCCGAUGCGUGUGCGUGUGCUUGGGCACUCGAUAGACAUAUAAAGGACAACGGAAAGUUGUGUAUCAGCGCCCCCUCCCCCGACUCUCAUUCACCUCACUACAGGCAUGAAGGUGCGUAGGAGAUCCUCCCUUUGUGUGUGUGUGUGUGUGCACGCGGACUGGUGUGCGCUCGAGGGAUCCGGUUUCGCAUGACGCUGUUGUAGCGCAAACACUAGACGUAUGAGAGCUUCCUCCCCUUCCCGCUUGCACUCCCUUCACGGUCGUCAUCACCUUCGCUGAUGGCCGUCGGUGAUCGGAUGCGUAGAGCUGCGCCAGGUAGAGGAGGGGAAACGCGUGAUACAUCUGAUGUGGCCGCAGAUCCACUUGUUUUGUCUUCCUACACCUCUACGCCGAGGCCGAAACGCGGUUAACGCUCCAAACAGUUAUGGACGAAGCAUGGGAAUGACCCGCGGGCAGCUCGACCUCAUCCUGCUCCUCUGAACCCUUCCCUGAUUAACAUGCCAUGAUAUCGCUCUCCCUCGUUCUCUUUCUCCUUGGCCGCGCGCACGCCCACGCACAUAUUAG